RNAcentral lists this ribosomal RNA (468 nucleotides) under uncultured bacterium. RNAcentral describes it as "partial 16S ribosomal RNA". It matches the Rfam family "Bacterial small subunit ribosomal RNA", at positions 28 to 507 of the family's 1533-position model. The record is from RNAcentral.
GACGAACGCUGGCGGCGUGCUUAACACAUGCAAGUCGAACGGAAACGCCCUGCUUAUUUGCGGUGCUCUAGUUGCGAACUGGUGAGUAACACGUGAGUACCCUGCCCUUGCCUUUGGGAUAACUUCAGGCAACUUGGUCUAAUACCGGAUAGGAGCUCCCGCUUCAUGGUGGGGGUUGGAAGGUUUCGGUGGUUGGGGAUGGACUCGCGUCGUAUCGGCUUGGUGGGUGGGUAGUGGAUUAGCAAGGCUUUGAACGGUAGCCGGCCUGAGAGGGUGACCUGCCACAUUGGGAUGGGAAUACGACACGGACUACUACGGGAGGGAACAGAGGGGAAUAGUGCACAAUGCGCUGAGGGCUGAUGCAACAACGCCGCGUGCGGGGAGACAGCAUGCGGGUAGUAUACCGCUUUCGCCUGAGACGAAGCGUGAAUGACAGUAACGGGUAAAGAAGCACCGGCUAACUACGUG